Meriones unguiculatus (Mongolian gerbil) is the source of this 1268-nucleotide long non-coding RNA. RefSeq lists it as uncharacterized. NCBI's taxonomy places the organism in Eukaryota, Metazoa, Chordata, Mammalia, Rodentia, Muridae. The transcript has 2 exons. The record is from RefSeq and is a predicted model, not a curated record.
ACUUUGUGCGGGAAGACCGCAGCAGGCGGAAAGGAGACGUCGCGGAGUCGGGGUGAUUCUCCUGCUUUAGGACUCCUGAAUGCUGGAAUUUACAGAUUUGAGCCAACAGCUCAAAUUUGAAAUUUUUUUCUUUAGUAAACAUAGAAAAAAAAAUCCAUAUGAUUUCUUUCAUUUACCUUAAAAAUCAGACAUUUUCCAACAAGUUCUGUCAGAGUUUAAACUGUUUCUCUAUGUAAAUGACAGUUAUACAAAGUCAAUCAUUUACAGCGCUGCUAACCGGUUCCACCACAUCUAUAAUCUACUUUUCAUGAGCAUGGCCUUUAGAAUCUUGUAUUAGCUCAUUGCUUGACUUUGGAUAAAUCAUAGGCUGCUUUCCCUGAGACAUCUCUUGUCUAUAAAAUGGAAAUAAUAACAGUACUUGACCUCUUGAAGGUGUUUUGAGAUUGGAUGAGAUAUAUGUGCUAAGCACAAUGCGUACGAUAUAGAAAAUAUCUGAUAUCAGCCCUAAAUGUUUAUUAUAGGCGAGGAGGCUAUAAUAAUCUUACCUAUUAGCUGGGUGAUGGAGGCAGAGGCAGGCUAAUCUCUAUUAGUUUGAGGCCAGCCUGGUCUACAGAGUAAGUUCCAGGACAGCCAGGGCUACACAAAGAAACCCUGCCUCAAAAAAUAAAAAAUAAAAAAAUAUAUGUAUUCUAAGUUCUUUCAGGUGCCUGUGUGGCCCUAUAAACCCAGGUAGGUGUACUGCCUCCCUAAGAUAAUGAGAGGCAUUUGCCGAAGCACUCGGUUAUUAGUGGAGCUGGUUUUUUGUUGUAUGUGUUAUUAGUGGAGGUGGGCUUUUGUUGUAUUUUGUUUUUUUGAGACAGAGCCUCACUCUAGUGCCUGUCCUGGAACUCACCACGUAGACCAGACAGGCCUCUACCUCCUGGUGCUGGACUUGGGCAUGUGCCAUUAUGAGGCUUAAAAGAGGGCCUUUACAUGGUGACUUUCCUCUGUCACCUUGACUGGAUCAGUAAACACCUUGGAUACCAGUGAGGCACUUCUUUGGGCGUGACUGGGAAGAGCUACUCGGAAUGUGGCCAGCACCAUUUCUUCAGCUGAGGUCCUGGACUGAAUCAGAAGAGGAAGAGGAAAAAGCCAUUGAAGGACCAGCAUCCCACUCUGUCUCCUUCCCGAUCCAACGGCAUGUGAGCAAGCCCUUUCCACUGCCACACCUCUGUGCUGAUGGACUCUGUCUCCUGAACCACGCAUCGAAAUAAAACUUUUCAGUUGCU